RNAcentral lists this long non-coding RNA (3062 nucleotides) under Sus scrofa (pig). RNAcentral's name for it is "lncRNA (ENSSSCG00060018842.1)". Lineage: Eukaryota; Metazoa; Chordata; Mammalia; Artiodactyla; Suidae. The record is from RNAcentral.
CUUUGGGUCUUUCCUCUGCCCUGGCCCAGAAAACAUUAUUUCCUUCCAGAAUUUGGUUCACUUUUUUUUUUUUUACCAAAGAACUUUUCUCUUAAAAAAAAAAAGAGUCAAAAGCCCAGAUUGCUGGGAAAAUCUAAACUUUCCUUAAUUGUACCACAGCCAUUGUUAUCACUUGAUGAUAGAAUCAAAAAUAGCACAGUUAUUUAUAGUAUAAAAACCUCAGUGUGCUUGGACUGUUCCAACCAGCUACUUCCCCCAGUGGCAUCAUAAAGUUGUGUUUCCUCCUGGAUCCUCCAAAUACCUGAGGGCAGUGUGUUCCAGAGAGGAUGAGAAACUUGACCUCAAACCAGAGAGUCUGUGUUUAGGAUCUUUGUUCUAUUUGAGUCUUGAGAUUAACCUCCUUGCAUUGCUGGUUCUAGGAGGAUAGAGCAGCUCUGCGCACUGUCACUGUUCAAGAUAAAAUUGGACCUAACGAAGUCCCAAUUCUAGCUAUAAAAAGCUGACAGCAAGCGCUGUUUGUAUGUGGUUAACCAUUAAUUUUCAUAAUGUCACUUUGCGUUGCUAUUUGGGGUGCUGUAAUUAAUACCAUUCGGGUAUAUAUCAGUUUUAACUCAUAUUUCACUCCAAGCGAAAUCUUGGCAGCCAGGGUAGGGUAUAAAAAUAAGCAAAGGGCUAGACUAUUUUUAGAGUGCCAAGGAGUUCUGAAUUAAAUUCCGGAAUGAUUAUUGAAACGACGUGGGCAGCAGUCAAGCCCACCAGAUCAUAAGGUCCUCAGGAAGGCAUAGCCCACAGAGAGGAAGGCACUGGGAGGCCAGCACUGGUGAACUGACCCGGGAUGACAGCAGGUGGGCUGGACUUGGCUGCCAGUGAUACACUGUCACGGCCUCUCAGGAUAAGCCUGGAGCGGGUCUCUGAAAAGCCCUUGUUACCCAAAGAAUUGGCGUGAGGGGUGAGAGGGAGCGUGAACAUUAAGUAAUGAGUAAUUUUCCGCAUUGACUGUGUCUUUUUAGAUGCGAGGAAUUGGAACAUGGGGAGGUUAAACGAAUUAGCGAGGUCACACAGGUGUGGAGGCAAAAGGCUACGAUGGAAAAAUAGGAAGCAGUAGACACCCAAAGAAUAUUAUUAAUGGACUGAUUCCACAGGGAAUGAAUCCUGAAAGUUCUGGAAACACUGACCAGGACUCUGACAGCAAAAGCUCAGCCUCGUGGGUCAGUCUGAGGUUAAGGUAGGUGCUAUGGACGGCCCAGGGUCCAACUGAAUACGGAUCCUCUUUGGGGGGACCCAGUGUAGGCACAAAAGAGGUGUCUGUCUGCUUGGCUUUGUCCCAGCAAUCCUUUCUACUCUGCAGAUGCGCCAAAACGAAACCAAAGUGAGGAGAGAGAGCGAGAAAGAAUCGCUCACCCGGCCCUUAGCAUCUGGCCAGUUGCAUUCAUGCGGGAUUUCUGAUGUGCCUGCCUGUCAUUCUCACCCGAUCCCUGUGCCCUGGAUGUGGCAUAAGCGAAAAUGGAGUACAGUGAGGGAGCAGAUUUUCAUUUAUUAAACCUGAGCACUCUUCAAAAGAAAAUCCUUUGUAUCCGUGGCAAAAUAAGUCUUACCUAAGGAAGAGCUAAGCUUCAUGUUUCUCUUGGCCAGAUGGAUUUUAUGUAGCGUCUGUGGGUAAUUCUCCUGGUAGAUAUCCACCCUUCCAUCUGGAUGAAGCUUAAUUAUUACCAAACCCAGUUACCCAACGGCACAGAGACAAAGAGGAGAGGGGGGAGAAAGGGACUCGUUCAUAUCAAACAUUUCUAAGGUCAAUUUUGUCAUUAGUGAUCUGCUCGAGCGGCAAAUAAAACGAGACUCAAGCCAAGUGGGGUAAGUGGGGAAAAGUCUUGAAACUAAAUACAAAAUUAUGUAUUUUUUCAAAGGACAGUGUGUUACCUUUGAAGCUGGUGGUGCCUCUAGUUGAAACUGUAGCAUCUUCAUGCUUGUCCAGACUUCAUAAGGCUCAUUUCCUGAAAAGUGUACAGAAAUGUAUUUACUUUUAAAAUGGGCACAAGUUUUAUCUUCUUAAUUUUGUUCUAGGUCAAAGAUAUGUUUCAAAACAUCUAAGAUAUGCCUAUCCACGGAACAGGUUUGUUUUACAUACACACACACACACACACACACACACACACACAGAGCCUUCAUUUACUGCAUCUGAUCAGCCUUGAGCACUGCCGUUUGGGGAUGGACAAUUCUCUGACCUGGGUGCCAUCCUGAGCGUCAAAGGAUGCUGAUCAGCACCUCUUCCUCCACCCACUCCCUGCCAGUACCGUCCUCCAGGUGCGACACCUGAGCAUGCCUCUGCGCAGCAAAAGCAGCCCUGGUUCGGCACCCCUGCUCCAGCCAAUGUCCAAACCAAGGUCCAUAACAAAGGACCGUCUAGAGGAAAACUCGCUCUGGUCCCAGGGAAGCGGAAGGCGCAAGGAGGCCCAGCUGUGUCCCAUGUCCCCGGCUGAUGGCAGAGGGACACCUGCAGCCCCUCACUCAGACUUCUGGCCCCUGGCUUCACCCACUGCAUUAUUACGACAACCAUUCUGGACCGAGUCUCUCCCCGUUUCCUCGCCUUCCCAGUCUCAGAAAUAAAUCUCCAGGAGGGAUGUCCAGUCUGCUGAGAUACAACGUGGUGGAAGAUAGCAUAAGAAAGGGAGUGUGUGUGUGUGUGUGUGUGUGUGAGAGAGACAGAGAGAGAGACUGGGCACUGUGCUGGAUUAGAAAGUAGCGCUACACUGUAAGUCAAUUAUAUUUUAGGUAAAUAAAUAAAUAAAUAUGCAGCAAACAUCAACAUUACAAAAGGAAAUGUUUUAAGGUGAAAUCAAAAUAAAUAAAUAGUAAAAAGGGAGUUCCCGUCGUGGCGCAGCGGAAACAAAUCUGACUAUAUCCAUGAGGGCACAGGUUGGAUUCCUGGCACCACUCAGAGGGUUAAGGAUCCAGUGUUGCUGUGAGCUGUGGUGUAGGCCGGGAGCUGCAGAUCUGAUUCGACCCCCAGCCUGGGAACUUCCAUAUGCCAUGAGUGUGGCCCUAAAAAGAAAAAAAAAAAAAAA